CAGGGCUUGACAUCCCGGUGACCGCUCUAGAGAUAGAGUUUUCUCUUCGGAGACACUGGUGACAGGUGGUGCAUGGUUGUCGUCAGCUCGUGUCGUGAGAUGUUGGGUUAAGUCCCGCAACGAGCGCAACCCUUAUUGUUAGUUGCUACGCAAGAGCACUCUAGCGAGACUGCCGUUGACAAAACGGAGGAAGGUGGGGACGACGUCAAAUCAUCAUGCCCCUUAUGUCCUGGGCCACACACGUACUACAAUGGUGGUCAACAGAGGGAAGCAAUACCGCGAGGUGGAGCAAAUCCCUAAAAGCCAUCCCAGUUCGGAUCGCAGGCUGCAACCCGCCUGCGUGAAGUUGGAAUCGCUAGCAAUCGCGGAUCAGCAUGCCGCGGUGAAUACGUUCCC
This 396-nucleotide ribosomal RNA is filed under the name uncultured bacterium. Its description in RNAcentral is "bacterial SSU rRNA". It matches the Rfam family "Bacterial small subunit ribosomal RNA", at positions 975 to 1375 of the family's 1533-position model. The record is from RNAcentral.